GAUGAACGCUGGCGGCGUGCCUAAUACAUGCAAGUCGAGCGAACAGACGAGGAGCUUGCUCCUCUGACGUUAGCGGCGGACGGGUGAGUAACACGUGGAUAACCUACCUAUAAGACUGGGAUAACUUCGGGAAACCGGAGCUAAUACCGGAUAAUAUAUUGAACCGCAUGGUUCAAUAGUGAAAGACGGUUUUGCUGUCACUUAUAGAUGGAUCCGCGCCGCAUUAGCUAGUUGGUAAGGUAACGGCUUACCAAGGCAACGAUGCGUAGCCGACCUGAGAGGGGGCAGGCCCCCAUGGAAGGUGGGACGGCGCCAAGGCACCGGGGGGAGGCGCAGGAGGGUAAUCUUCGGCAGGGGGGGAAAUCUUGAAGAAGCAGCGCGGGGGGGGUGAUGAGGGUCUGGGGGUCGGAAACCUGUUUUGUGGGGGAAAAAAAAAUUUGAAAGAAACAAAGCCUUUCUUGACGGUACCUAAUAAAAAAGCCCCGGCUAACUACGUG
Molecule: ribosomal RNA, 497 nt
Filed under: uncultured bacterium
Lineage: Bacteria
Description: partial 16S ribosomal RNA
Rfam family: Bacterial small subunit ribosomal RNA
Source: RNAcentral